UGUGUCCAAUGAUGUUUCUAGCAAUUUACCUUACCUACAUUGGUUGAGAGACCGUGAUAUCAAAAAUGCAAAACUGAGGAUGCA
This 84-nucleotide small nucleolar RNA is filed under the name Strigamia maritima. RNAcentral describes it as "Small nucleolar RNA SNORD34". It matches the Rfam family "Small nucleolar RNA SNORD34". From Rfam's summary of the family: snoRNA U34 is found in intron 5 of the ribosomal protein L13a gene in humans. U34 is a member of the C/D class of snoRNA which contain C (UGAUGA) and D (CUGA) box motifs, and functions in directing site-specific 2'-O-methylation of 25S rRNAs. The record is from Rfam by way of RNAcentral. Lineage: Eukaryota; Metazoa; Arthropoda; Chilopoda; Geophilomorpha; Linotaeniidae.